CAUUUUAAUUGUUAAUGGUUUUUUGUUUUUCAUUUUCUUGAUUCUGGAACCCUGCAGAUCGGCGCAUCUGAGGGCGAUGGAGUUCCAAGACCGGGGAAGAUUCUGUGGAAGAUGAGGUUGCCAUGAAGCUUCUCCUGGUCACCAUCGGGGACAAGGGUACACCAAGUGGCUACCCCAAAGCAGAUCAGAGAACUGAUGAAGGUUGACGGGCUCACCAAUGAUGAAGUGAAGAGCCAUUUGCAGGUAGGUUUGGAUUCAAUUUGAUUGCCUCUUUGCUUCUUGCUUCUUAAAGGGUGCCGAAUGCUUCGACGGCAGUGAACCAUCCUGUUGUCGUUAUGGGAGAUUUAUGGGUUCCCCAGGAGCACUAUUCUGCUUCACAGAAGAGUGCUUCCCAGUCUGGUUCUCCCCAAACCCCUCUUCAACUAGCUGGUGCUGGCCACACAAUCUCCAUUACUGCUGGAGAUAGCUGCGAGGAAGAAGAUGGGAAAUCGGAGAGCUGCAGCUGGAAAUGAGAGGAUAGCCAUUAUGAGGAAGGGAGUUAAGCCAACAACCAUCGGGGACACCAAGUCCCUGAUGAAAAAUAUUUUUUUAAAAAAACUUGGGGCCAAAGCCGACGCUUAUAAGCGUCGGCGUAGGUAGUUUUAGCGACGCUUUUAAGGGUCGCUAAAAAGCGUCGCUAAAAAUCCACCUUUUACAACGCUUCUCAAGAGCGUCGGGAAAAAUUUUUCCCACUUCAGUAUUGCCAACGCUUUGGCGACGCUUCUGUUUGCGUCAGUGGUAUUUUAGCCGACGCUUAUUAGCGUCACUAAAGGUCGCCAAAAGCGCCGGAAAAAGUUGGUUUUCCUGUAGUGCUGCUAAGAUCCCCGUCCAAUGACUCACAUGGAUAAUAUAAUUUAUUUAUUUUUUUUGCUAAAGGGAUAAUAUAAUCUUUGGUGUUAUGAACCAGAGCCAAAUAUGAACUGACCUCUUGAGGUAUGGGAAUCUCCUCCUACGUAGAGGGUUUUUUUUUUUCAUUCAGAACCCUUACACAACAGUUUUCACCUCCCAAGAAUUUUGGUCGAUCUCAUAUCUAACCUGGUAUAUGAUAGCAGAAUAACAUUUAACAUAGUAAAAAAAAUAAAUUAUAAAAAUCUUCAAGGUAAAUUAUAUUUAUACCUAAUAAUAUAAAAAAUCUAUAAUUAUCCAUUUAGGUUUAUUUUUAUCCAAUACUUUAAUCCAUAACUUAAUAGAACGUUAGUCAAACAUUAACUUUUAAUGAAAUUCAAAUG
This is a non-coding RNA of Phoenix dactylifera (date palm), 1268 nucleotides long. NCBI's taxonomy places the organism in Eukaryota, Viridiplantae, Streptophyta, Magnoliopsida, Arecales, Arecaceae. The record is from RefSeq and is a predicted model, not a curated record.